Molecule: ribosomal RNA, 472 nt
Filed under: uncultured Geothermobacter sp.
Lineage: Bacteria; Pseudomonadati; Thermodesulfobacteriota; Desulfuromonadia; Desulfuromonadales; Geothermobacteraceae
Description: bacterial SSU rRNA
Rfam family: Bacterial small subunit ribosomal RNA
Source: RNAcentral
CGGACGGGGCCCGCACAAGCGGUGGAGCAUGUGGUUUAAUUCGACGCAACGCGAAGAACCUUACCUGGGCUUGACAUCCCGAUCGCACCUUAUGGAAACAUAGGGGUCAGUUCGGCUGGAUCGGUGACAGGUGCUGCAUGGCUGUCGUCAGCUCGUGUCGUGAGAUGUUGGGUUAAGUCCCGCAACGAGCGCAACCCUUGUCCUUAGUUGCCAGCAUUCAGUUGGGCACUCUAAGGAGACUGCCGGUGUCAAACCGGAGGAAGGUGGGGAUGACGUCAAGUCCUCAUGGCCCUUAUGUCCAGGGCUACACACGUGCUACAAUGGCCGGUACAAAGGGGCGCAAGACCGCGAGGCGGAGCAAAUCCCAAAAACCGGUCUCAGUUCGGAUUGGAGUCUGCAACUCGACUCCAUGAAGUUGGAAUCGCUAGUAAUCGCGUAUCAGCAUGACGCGGUGAAUACGUUCCCGGGCCUU